Molecule: ribosomal RNA, 301 nt
Filed under: uncultured bacterium
Lineage: Bacteria
Description: partial 16S ribosomal RNA
Rfam family: Bacterial small subunit ribosomal RNA
Source: RNAcentral
CAGUAGCCGCGGGAAUACAUAGGGUGCGAGCGUUAAUCGGAAUUACUGGGCGUAAAGCGUGCGCAGGCGGUUGUGUAAGACAGGUGUGAAAUCCCCGGGCUUAACCUGGGAACUGCGCUUGUGACUGCACAGCUAGAGUAUGGCAGAGGGGGGUGGAAUUCCACGUGUAGCAGUGAAAUGCGUAGGGAUGUGGAGGAACACCGAUGGCGAAGGCAGCCCCCUGGGCCAAUACUGACGCUCAUGCACGAAAGCGUGGGGAGCAAACAGGAUUAGAUACCCCCGUAGUCCCUGUCUCUUAUAC